This is a long non-coding RNA of Ailuropoda melanoleuca (giant panda), 1408 nucleotides long. RefSeq lists it as uncharacterized. Lineage: Eukaryota; Metazoa; Chordata; Mammalia; Carnivora; Ursidae. The transcript is spliced from 4 exons. The record is from RefSeq and is a predicted model, not a curated record.
UUGAGGUUUGGUUCUUAAAGCUCUUACAUGAUACUUACUAGUUCCCUUUUUCUGAGGAGGAGUCUUAGACCAGCAACGUCUCUGGAAAAUACAAAGAUCAUCGUCCCAGUUCUGCAGGUGAAACAGAGAGAGAUCCGUGGCUUCAGCCCCAGCGCCAGAGAAUAAUCCGGGGAGUGGAAGGAAUCAAGAUAAACCAAAUUGGCCAGGAGUUUGAAAAUCCAUAAAGCUGGGCAAUGGAUAGUCACACACUCCGUGGCCUGAGUCACAGCUCUGUAAGUUGUAGGGGCCAGAAAGACCCCCUGGGCUCCUGACUGUGGACACACGAAUGAGCUUGGCAACCUUCCCCUGUUCAAGCAAGGCUGGUGCGUUCUGUCCCUUUGAAAAUGCAUUUCAAGAUCUCUGAUGUGCACAGGUCUGUUUUAUGGAUUCUCCUUUGAACCAACUGUGACGUCUCUCCAGUUCUGUCGAUGAUGGAGAAGCGUGUGCUCCAGAGUCUUGACAGCCUCCCGGCUUCCUGGCGGUGGCCCCCAGGACUACAAACCCCACCUUCCUGCCGUUGCAGAGCCAGCUGAGGGGUGGGCAGCACGCCAGGCCCCCACAGCAGCCCCUGGAGCACACGCCAGUUGCAGACUCUCGAGACGCUGGAGAGAGGGACGGGGUUCUCACCAGAUCCCCACAGCCAUCGCAAGCCCGCGCCUUUGUCCUGCUCCCGGCUUCCCCGGCUACCUGGUCCCCUGGCACAGGGGAGAAGUACACACCUUGAGACCUCCCGCCCUCUGGCUUCCAUGGGCCCACAACGUCCUUCAAAGAAUGCGUAUUUUCCUUUUAAUGAAGUCCACACUCAUUAUUAAACCAACCUAUUAAACCAACCGUACCUCAGAUCACAUCCCCAACCCCUCAACACGAAAGCAGUUCCAACAGAUGUCUCUCACAGCCCCUCCCCACCUUUCUCGAAUGUAAAUAAGCUUUUCAAGCUGCCAUCAAUAUGUACACACAGUUCUGCUUUCGACUCUUCCCACCGGCUUUGUAUACACUUUCCCAUGGAUCUGGGUCAUCCUGGUGCCGAGUAUCUCACAGGACAGCAAAAAAUAUGGAAGACGUAUUUUGUUUUAGAAUCUUAAUACCCAGAACAUCUGGGUGAUACUCAGACAACUGGUGAGACUCUUGCUGAUGCUGCAAGUCUCCAAGUCCAAGUUCCCCCGCAGACAGAAAACGCUGGAUUUUGCAUCUGCUCGUAAGAACAUGGGUUUUCUCAAGCGCAGUGGACUGUGGGGUGUGACAGUUAGUGAUUUCUUCCCUGGAAGUGGCAUGACCUGCUGGCGUUCCCGUUGGCUGGAGUUGCGAGUACAGCCCAAAUUUAUUGGUUUUGAUUCCUGUACCGUUCCCUGCGUAAAUUAAAAUGUGACAU